RNAcentral lists this ribosomal RNA (581 nucleotides) under Escherichia coli. RNAcentral describes it as "bacterial LSU rRNA". It matches the Rfam family "Bacterial large subunit ribosomal RNA", at positions 1 to 612 of the family's 2925-position model. The record is from RNAcentral. Lineage: Bacteria; Pseudomonadati; Pseudomonadota; Gammaproteobacteria; Enterobacterales; Enterobacteriaceae.
GGGUUGUGAGGUUAAGCGACUAAGCGUACACGGUGGAUGCCCUGGCAGUCAGAGGCGAUGAAGGACGUGCUAAUCUGCGAUAAGCGUCGGUAAGGUGAUAUGAACCGUUAUAACCGGCGAUUUCCGAAUGGGGAAACCCAGUGUGAUUCGUCACACUAUCAUUAACUGAAUCCAUAGGUUAAUGAGGCGAACCGGGGGAACUGAAACAUCUAAGUACCCCGAGGAAAAGAAAUCAACCGAGAUUCCCCCAGUAGCGGCGAGCGAACGGGGAGCAGCCCAGAGCCUGAAUCAGUGUGUGUGUUAGUGGAAGCGUCUGGAAAGGCGCGCGAUACAGGGUGACAGCCCCGUACACAAAAAUGCACAUGCUGUGAGCUCGAUGAGUAGGGCGGGACACGUGGUAUCCUGUCUGAAUAUGGGGGGACCAUCCUCCAAGGCUAAAUACUCCUGACUGACCGAUAGUGAACCAGUACCGUGAGGGAAAGGCGAAAAGAACCCCGGCGAGGGGAGUGAAAAAGAACCUGAAACCGUGUACGUACAAGCAGUGGGAGCACGCUUAGGCGUGUGACUGCGUACCUUUUGUA